CAAGGUUGCAGGAGGAAAAGGGAAAAUGCGCUGUUUGCAUCACUUACCACCACUUCCAAAUUUAGAAGUGAGACGAGGUCUACGGAAAAAAAGGCAUCACCUACCACUAUGCACCUGUGCCCACUUCUGCCAACAGACCAUCACUGCUACAGUAAUGUGACUUUGCAAACUUGACAGUGACAGAGCUGAAUUACCAGGAUACUCAGCAGGAGAAUCUUCCGGGCCGUUGUGUUGCAUUUAGAAAGAUCUACUUUACAUGAGUGUAAGUUAUCUGCAGCACUCCUGGCAAGAGGCAUGCUGUGUUGUGGAAUUGAUGCACACUCCUGCUCACUAUAAGAACGACAGGAACCAGAUGCUAAGCCAGAAAGGACAUUGUUCCACCUGCAACAUCUGGCUCUUUGGCAAGCCAUACGGGAAGCUUCAAAGUUGCACCUCUGCCUCUCACAUGGUUCUUUGCCUGCAGCCAACCAAACCCAGCAGCUACUUCAGAACAACACAACCCAUGACAGCAGGGCAAGUUGUUAGUCCACAGAAAGUACUUAGUCCUUUCCAGAAAGUGGUCCAGGAUUACUCGCAUCAUCUAUUUACGUAAAAUGUACCACAUCAGGCCCAGUUUCUUGAUGGAGGGACAGACCUACUUCUUAGCACGCAAAUCAUAAGGAAGAGAGACUUGCAGAUACACCUAUGUCUAAUUACCAAACUCAAGGAAAAAUGUUGCAAUCUACAGGCAAAGCCAUGAAAUCAGUAGAGCUGAAAUCACCAGUGUAAUGGGCAGAAAUGCAUGACCCACUGCAUUCCAGCUGCACAAAAAUCUGCAGGCAGAAAGGGCCCCACAGCUUUUCUCUGAAUUUUAGAGAGAAGUUGUGUUUUAUUCACCCUUCAGAAAUUUGUUAACGUGAAAGUUUCCAGGUGUGGCUAUUACAUUCAUUGACAAAGAAAGUACAAGUAGGGUUAAGUCUAGUUGUCCUAGGUACUAUGUGAGCACUACCUAAGAGUGUGUCUCUUACCCAAAGGACCAGCAACAAAACUAGGGAAGACAUAAAGAAAAUGGCAAUGGAAAGAAAAGCAUAGAAGUGAAGUGACUUCAUAAGGUUAUAGAGCAGAGGUAAGAGAAGAAUGCAACUCUAUUCUUGAAUUCAGUACCCACUAGAAGAGGCUGUAGACGACUUUGAGUGUUCCCAGGUAGAACCUCAGUAUUUUUUACCCUUCUCUGGAUGCCAUCAAUUGGUCUAUUAUGAAAGAAAGAAACAACAUCAACAAAACAGUCCUUGGUCUGUACUGGUCAAUAUUGCUACAAUGCUUUACAACUAUAAGCAGUAACAGGUGAGCUUGAGCUCACUUACUGCUUUUAUUUUCUUCAUUUUGCACAUCUCUGUCACUGGCUGUAAAGGAAUACACAUACAUGCUGUGUGGGACAUGUUUCUCCUGCAGCCUAUACAAACCACUUUCUGCAGCCUGACACUGUGGCACCCAACACCAAAGGAGCACAUGUGGAGAACCACAGCCCUAGGCCAACGUGCUGUCUGGGCAUUCAGAAGAGACAAGAUAAAGCACUGCUCAAAUGGUGUCUUGCAGCAUGCCAAAAUGACUACAAAGUUACCAUUUUAAUACAGAAAUACUGCUGAAAAGCCCCACACAGCAGUGAUGUAGGGAUGCUGGUAGUUGAUUGUCCGUGUUAUGAUGCAGCCAAGGACACUUUGUGGAGAAAAUAGUCUGUCAGCAGUGUAUACCUGACUCAUAAAGAAAAGAAGAGCCAAAUGCAAUCUGAGAGCAAUACCUUUCAUGGGAAUCUACAUUUCUCUUUCUCUCAGCAGCAGAGGAUCCAACCAGAGGUCCAACUUCUCAGAUAGACAGGCAAGAGGAACUUGAUUCCACUUACUCUUCUAAGAAGAGUCAGUGUUUAUAUAAAUGAUUUUAUGAUUUUUCCUUCCAACUUUAUGGUGACAUUGUAGUUCUUCAACAGUCAGAAAGCCAGGGCCAGUUUUCAGGUUCAAGGACCACAAGAAAAUUGUCCCAUGUGAAGUGAACAGGAUCAGUGCAUGUGAUCAGCACCUCUGAAAAUCAGACUCCCUUGUGCCUAGCUAUCAAAAUGACUGACAGCAGGCAUGUUCCUAGACAUCGAUAUAUAAGUAUUCCUUCUUCAAAACCUUGUCAUUAAUUCCAAAUUACAUUUCUUCUAAACCUUGUCAAAAGUAUAUUAAAUUUCUACAUAGCCCAGUCCAGCUUCUCUACUGGAGAACAGUUUGAUUCACCCUAUUCAACGUGGUAAGGCUAUUCAAAUUCUCUAUUCAAUUAGGCCAGCUCUAUUUUUGAUCACACAGCACCAGAACAAACAUCACUUCUCAGGUGCAGUCUCAGGAUGUUCACAUUCUAAGUCUCCACUCAAACUGUUCUAUCUUGAUGAUUUUUCUUCUGUUUCCCAACCCAUUCCUAUUAUUUUAAAACAAUUUCUUUCUAUGUUGCCCUUUCAGACUUUCCUCAACCAUCUUCUGGAGCGCCUCAAAAUUGAGAGCCUGGUCUAGCAUUAAAUGGAGAGGUUGGUGGCCCUGCAUGUGGCAGGGGGGUUGGAAAUUCAUGAUCCUUGAGGUCCCUUCCAACUCUGGCCAUUCUGUGAUUCUGUGUGAUUUUGUGAGAGGUGAUUCCCUUUCUCUUCAGCUAUUAUCCUUAUGUAUACAUUUGCAAAAUCUACUGCAUCCUGUUUAUGAAGGCAGCUACACUGUUCUUUCAUAAACCACUGUUAAUAUUUCUUUUGUCUCUGUAGUCAUUCCCAGAAAAAAUGGGAUGACAUAAGGAGUACCAACAGUCGUAGGGAAAUUCUCCUUAUUUCUGUAGAGUGUGCUUACAUUGCAUGUGCACACCCACACAUACAUGUUUUUAUAACGAAUAUAGUCCAUUUAGUAGAUGGAGAUCAAAGGGGCUACAGUGCCCUGUCAUACAUCUACCAAAUACCCGGGAGAAAAACUUGGCAUUAACCUUCAAUAAAUGAAUGGAUUAUAUUGCAAAUAAUAAGAUGGCUAAAUAUAGGCACAGUCUAUGAAUUAAACAUUGCCUAACUUUGCAUGAUGCUAAUUUAUUUCGGCAUAUCUUGAUGAUUGUGCUGUGGCUGUGUCCUUCUGAAUGCUUUUUAAUUGUCCAACAAUUGUCCUUUACUAUCCAGCUGCUAGCUACAGUAAAAUGUACAGUAAUCCAUGUCAACACUACCUAUGCAACUGCACACACACAGUACAUGCUGGAUGUGGAUUACAGUUUGUAUGGUUCAGGUAGGCAGACAAACUUGAGCACCCAAGUGCUCAUUAGUUUCAAUAAAGAUAUAGUAAAGCUCAGUCUACUGGGCUGAUUGGAAAUACUGUCAGUAGAGUAGCUGUGUGUGUAUAACAGGUGCAAAAAUGAAGUUUUAUUUGCAUUUCCUAGCAAUAAAGCACUAAUAUUCCCUGUACAGAGAAAUGCAAUCGUAUUCUCAGAUGUAAAUCUCUAUACUUGGCCUUCUGUAAAAACUGAAAGCUUCAGCCAAGAUAAAAGCAACAUAUAUUGAAUGCACAACAGAAAAAGAGUAAGCCUCUGAAACGGAGGCAGUCUAACCCAGAAAAUAAACAGCAACAGGUAGAAAGCAGAUGUGGAGAAGGCACUUGCCAAAGUUCCAGGCAUACAGCUGUUCAGGUUUCUGCCUGAAAACAGAAUAGGGUGAACACACAACAAGCUCAGGACAGCUGUGGGAGAGCCCAAGCACCUUAUUACAGGCUACAGAAGGCCAAGCUAAGCCAGGAAGACGUGCUGAAUCACAUGGCAGAGACACCCUGACAAGGUACUUACUGCAUGGUAGGGAGUAUGGGGUGCACAUUCACCCACAUGACGCUUGGCUUUAUGAGCACCUUGGUGCAUACACAGCAUGAUGAGUUACAGCACAGCCAGCACUGUAUGGCAUGUGACUUUGUCCCCACGUGUUCAUUUCAAACACAGGUGCACUGUAAGGUUUGAGCCAGAAAGGCUGUUUGAUCCACAAACAUGCUUUUUACUCUUAUACUAUUCUUAGAAGGCCAUCUAUACCUCAGAACUAAUUCUUGAGUGGGACUUUCAAAUACUCCAAGGGUGCUUGUUCCUCUCUGUUCCCAGAGGCUUACCAACCUGUUCUU
Non-coding RNA from Meleagris gallopavo (turkey), 4130 nucleotides. The record is from RefSeq and is a predicted model, not a curated record. Lineage: Eukaryota; Metazoa; Chordata; Aves; Galliformes; Phasianidae.